CUUUUUGAUUAUAAUUUAAGGUCUGGCCUGCCCAAUGAGGAUUUAAAUGGCCGCGGUAUUUUGACCGUGCAAAGGUAGCAUAAUCAUUAGUUUUUUAAUUGAAAGCUUGCAUGAAAGGUUGGAUGAGAAAAUAGUUGUCUCUAUUUAAAUUAAUUAGAAUUUUAUUUUUAAGUAAAAAAGCUUAAAUUAAAUUGGAAGACGAGAAGACCCUAUAGAGUUUUAUUUAUUUAUAUAUUAAGAUUUUUAGUAUUUAUUUUUUUAUUAUAAUUAAUAAAUUUAGUUGGGGUGAUUAAAAAAUUAAAUAAACUUUUUUUUUACUUUUACAUUAAUUUAUGGUUGUUUGAUCCUUAUUUUAAGAUUAAAAGAUAAAAUUACCUUAGGGAUAACAGCGUAAUUUUUUUAAAGAGUUCAAAUCGAAAAAAAAGAUUGCGACCUCGAUGUUGGAUUAAAAUAAAAUUUUGGUGUAGAAGCUAAA
Molecule: ribosomal RNA, 475 nt
Filed under: Otiorhynchus sulcatus (black vine weevil)
Lineage: Eukaryota; Metazoa; Arthropoda; Insecta; Coleoptera; Curculionidae
Description: partial 16S ribosomal RNA
Rfam family: Bacterial large subunit ribosomal RNA
Source: RNAcentral